AAUUUUGGAAUCUUCUUUGUGGAAACCGUCAGGAAACACUGACAUGUGUUUUCACCCAGCAGCAGGCGAAAGGGCUUGGAUGUGGAAUAAGAAUAGCUGGCAGAUGAUUGAGCUAUAGGCUCCAGAGGAAAGGUACACUCCAGACCAGCUCCAGAGAACGAGAGAAGACUUCCCGGAGGAGACGGUGCUAAAUCCGAAGGGACCAUUAAGGAUGACUAGCGGGAUAUUGAUGAAGCUUAAGGUCUCAUGCCCAGGAUGCUUUCUUAUAGGCCAAAUGGUAUCACUCCAUUCUACUGGUGUCAGCUGCUUGAAAUAGUGUAGACACAGAGAAUUCUGGGACCCGUGUCGCUCAGAAACAAUGUCAAAGUCCUGGCUGAAGGUAUCUACAUUACCCACGAAUUGCUGUAUAUGAGUGGAAUGUACAAGCAUGGAUGCAACAGCAAGAGAACUAAAUUUGUUUUGUGCUUCAAA
Molecule: long non-coding RNA, 471 nt
Filed under: Homo sapiens (human)
Lineage: Eukaryota; Metazoa; Chordata; Mammalia; Primates; Hominidae
Description: SCD divergent transcript
Source: RNAcentral